AUGGACACCUGCGCUGCCUGUGGGCAGCUAUGUGGGGCAGGACGUGCACUUGGCACAUGCUCGGCACAUGGCAAGUGCUGGGUGGACCUGGUUCUCUUUCUUUUUCUUUCGUCCAAUUCAUGGUCAGUGGUUUGCUGUGAGCGUGAUUUAAGCCUGGGUAUUACCUGCCGUUUAAACAUACUCCUGACUGCCCUGUAUUCACACCCUUCUUACAGUCAGGUUAUACGGCGGCGAUCAACUGGUGAUUUUCCUGCAAAGCGUCAUCAAACCCGAGGAGCCUGCCAAGGCAGUGGCAGCCCUGCAAGCCUUCAGGGAUGUGUCCUGCAGAGUGCCCCAGAUGGAGACCUUGAAGAAGGAGGUGAUGAGUUCAGUGGUUCUGCUGAUACAGAAAAAUCCGAGACCUGCUCCCUCUUGCUGGCCUCCUCCCUCUCCUCUCAGCCCACUGGGAACCAGAGUCUCCUCCGGACGCCAAGAGACAGGAAAGGGGUGCUCUGGGCCGCGGCCUCACCCGUGGUGAGUGUGUGACGAUCGGGGUGGCGGUGUCGCCGCGCUGGUGGCGGGAGGGAGGCUGGGCCCGUGGGAGAGGACCGCUGGGCUGAUGGGUUCCCGCGCCCUCGCGCUCCCAGCUGCCAGCCCAGGGGCAGGUAGGGCGCAGGCGGCGGUGAGUGGCAUCGAGAGCCUGCUGGAGAACCCGGUGCGCGCCGUGCUCUACCUCAAGGGUUCUGGGCCAUCCAUCGUGCAGAACCAGCAGAGCCUCGUCCACGUCCAGCGCCAGCGCCUCGACGAGCAGGAGCGGCGGCUGGACGAGCUGAGCGCUGAGAACCGCAGCCUCUGGGAGCACCAGCAGCUGCUGCAAGCCCACCCUUGUGUCCGCCAUCGUCGUUCCGGUACUGGCCUUCUGGGCCGCUGCUCUCGCCAUUACCACUGGCGGCCGGGAACCUCCAGGACCAGGGACAGCGCUCAGCCGCCGCGCCACACCCCGCGUCCGAGCAGAUGCCGCUUCAGCACCACGGACAGCUCCUGGCGCAGCCCAGCCUCCUGGCUGCCGGGCUCACACAGCCCAAUCGCCCCACCAGCUCCCGGGACACUUGGGGCCGCUACAUAC
Molecule: long non-coding RNA, 1105 nt
Filed under: Macaca mulatta (Rhesus monkey)
Lineage: Eukaryota; Metazoa; Chordata; Mammalia; Primates; Cercopithecidae
Description: lncRNA (ENSMMUG00000040752.2)
Source: RNAcentral